This is a long non-coding RNA of Exaiptasia diaphana, 781 nucleotides long. RefSeq lists it as uncharacterized. Lineage: Eukaryota; Metazoa; Cnidaria; Anthozoa; Actiniaria; Aiptasiidae. The transcript has 2 exons. The record is from RefSeq and is a predicted model, not a curated record.
CUUUUUCCGUGUUUACAUAGCCUGAUGCAAACACGAGGGUAGGUUGGGAGAAUUCGAGACGGUUAUGCAAACCCGAGACGAAGUCGAGGGUUUGCAUAACCAUCGAGAAUUCUCCCAACCUGCCCGAUGAAUCAUAAACUAUGUGUUCUUUGAGGAGAAAGGGUGCAUGUCUGUCAAAAGGUCAACUGGACGCAAAACAAUUAGAAAAAGAAUUGGUAUGGAAAUGAUAUCAAGAUGAGAUUUUUGAAAAACUGCAGGAAUAUACUUGCUGAAAGACUUUGUUUUGACACUUUAAAUGAUGUUUGAUUAGCUGCUUCGACGUGCCGGCACUUCAGCAUCACCGACGAAAAAAUUCACAAAGCCACAAAUAACACAUGAAAGUAUUGGUCGUAUGAACUCCGUUUCAUGGAUAAGAAGGUGGAAUUCAUGUUCAUAGAGAUUUUUUAUUGAACUGGUAUCUGGUAACAAUAUCAAACUGAUAGAAGAUAAUUUUAUGCGAGCGAUGCAAGAACUGCAAUGACAACAAACCGUACGAAAAUAUUCCCAAAGCUACAAAUAAAGACCUUUGGUCGGAUAAAUUACGUUUAAUAAAUAAGCUGGUAUUCAUAUUUUUAGGUUAAACUAGUAGCUUGUUUAUCGUGUACUUGUAUGUAACGAAUUUAUAAAGAGACUCAUUAUGAACAAUCGUUGAACUGAAAGAAAUCUCGAUUCUCAAGCGCAAAUCGACAUAUUCUUGUAGUACUUUUCUUAAGUAGUAUCUCAAUAAAAUGCAAAAUACUCA